AGCUGUUCUGGCUCACAGCGUCCCCCUGGAGACCAUCAUCCCCAUCCUGCAGCACCUUAAAUAUAAAGAACACCCGGAGGCCAUGUCCUGUCUGCUGCUGCUGCUCUGCAGAGAGGUAUGACAGGAACACACCUGGACACUCGUCUUAGAGACUCCUGGGUCCCCGUUAACGUCUGUUUCCCAGGCCUAGUGAGAAGAUGGUGACGAGAGUGCUGAGUUGUCCCUGUCACCAGUUCACCACCACCUGAGACACCAAUCACGACAACACGCUGGGAAAAUCAAGGCCCAGCUGAUCAAGAACAACCAGCGCCGCAAGAGAGGUGAGGACGGACAGACUGAGACAGAGGUGAGAACAGACAGAGAUGGAACGAUGAGGACAGAUUGAUGAGGACAGAGGUGAAGACAAAUGAAUGAGGACAGAUAGCACAGAGGUGAAGACUCUGUCUGGGUACCUGAUGAACAGCGGUUGUGUGUCCGUCCUCAGUCUUCAGUUACAGCAGUAACCCUGGAACAGAUCCUGGAGCUCAUGGACAACCUGAGGCUGAGCCUGAGCAACACCAAGAACAGCUGUCAGUACACACAGGCUUAUUGAUCGCUUCAGGAGAUAUUGACACUCAGACCCCAAUCCUUCAGGCUCUGCAGCACGUUCAGGCCAGCUGUGACGAGGUCCACAAGAUGAGAUGCGCGCACACACUGACGGGUGAUAUCACUGUGGCGGCUGAUGUCACUUCCUCCUCCUGCAGGAGUACAAAGACUCCUAGACCUAACCUCCCAAGUCCUGCCGUAAGGCUCCGGCCUCCACGCCUCGCUCCCGGGAAGGAGCGGCUCCGCCCAACAACGAGGAGGAGAGUGCCUCCAGCAGGGCCUCUCUGGGGUUCCAAACACCUGAGGCUGUGGAUGUUGGGAGGCGGGAUUUCUGCAGGAGGUGGACUGACAGCAGGAAGAGACACACACUGAUCCCGCCCAGGAUGACCACGCCUGAGAUCAGAGCGCUGGUCACCGGGUUCAUAUGCUUGGAGGGGUUACCAGAUUCUGGAGGAUGGAAAGAUGAGGAAAAGCAGAAGAUAGAAACAGACAUGUUCUUUGACGUAGCCUUAACAUAAUAAAUUGUUCUUUCAG
This is a long non-coding RNA of Micropterus salmoides (largemouth bass), 1119 nucleotides long. RefSeq lists it as uncharacterized. Lineage: Eukaryota; Metazoa; Chordata; Actinopteri; Centrarchiformes; Centrarchidae. The record is from RefSeq and is a predicted model, not a curated record. The transcript has 3 exons.